UAACCAUGGUGUGGGCAAGCAUUUAAAAAAUCUUUGAACCUUUCCCAAGAUUGACAAAAAGUUUCAUUUUCCUUUUGAGCAAAAUUCAUGAUUUAUCUUUUUAAAGCA
Malania oleifera is the source of this 108-nucleotide small nucleolar RNA. NCBI's taxonomy places the organism in Eukaryota, Viridiplantae, Streptophyta, Magnoliopsida, Santalales, Ximeniaceae. The record is from RefSeq and is a predicted model, not a curated record.